Long non-coding RNA from Mus musculus (house mouse), 3727 nucleotides. RefSeq annotates it as predicted gene, 34347. NCBI's taxonomy places the organism in Eukaryota, Metazoa, Chordata, Mammalia, Rodentia, Muridae. The record is from RefSeq and is a predicted model, not a curated record. The transcript is spliced from 3 exons.
CAGAGAUGAAUUGACAGAUAUGUGGGUGGAUACAGAAAGUAUGGGUUCAAGGGAAUGACUGAUGGGUCAGGACUAAGAGGGCUGCUUGGCUGGAGAUGGAUGCUUGGAGACCCUGGAGAGGCAGGUGAAUGAACGAGCACUGAUUGGCCCUGUGUUCUCCUGAGCCAUUCACAACACAGGCCUGGACUCUUCAAAGCAGAGACUCUGUUUAUCCCAUCCCCAAAUGAGUUCAGCAUUUGUAACUGAGUGAUGGAUGUGUCUUGCUGGGAAGAAGUCUUCUAGGUCUAAUAUUGCCUGGUUAAUGACUUAUGGAUUGUUGUAAAGUCUGGCACCACAAGAAGUGCAGCCAGGAGUUGAAGGCCUUGGAACAGAUUUCAUAAUAAUAAUACCGCAUUUCAUCAGCUAGGUGUUGCGCAGAGCCCUUUCCUGGAGGGAGCCUCGCUGCCGUUGCUCAAGGCUGUUACUACCCCACUCUGCGGAUAAGAACCUGAGGCUCAGAGGGGGAGACACUGUACCUUACUUCCGAGUGUGGAGGUGGAUUGUCUGGCAGGAAAUCUCAGCCUUUGAUUUUAUAGUCUCUUAGUGAAGAGAAAAAUUCAAGUGUAGAUGGAUAGAAGGAAGGCCACAGGGACCUAGUUCUAGACCUCUAAGAAGUGCUGUGGCAUUUGGUGCAUGGGAAACCUUUUGUUUGGACUGAGCUACUGUGACUAUUCUAAUGACAGUGUCCCAGAGCCAACCCCAAAUUUUCCCCCUUUCUCUUCUCUGCAUCUUCCUGGAACAGCAGAGAUGGGUACAUCUGGUUUGCCUUCCUCUGUCUGGUUUCUACCUGUUCUCCUGCCAUUCAGGAGCAGUCGGGAGCUGGGGUGUGUUUCUCCUUCCACAGAGGGAAGGAAGUCAGCCCUUAGCUUGGAGGGGCAUCCAGCCACUCGGAGGGUAGGAGUUUUUGUUGCUGCUCUGGGACUGGCCAUGCGAGAGGAGCUACCUUUAUGAUAAUGAGAGGCCUCAGUUGGAUUUUCUUCUUCCUCACAAACUGGUGUGGUGGCAUGGAUGGGCUCUGAGCAGAGCUCCCUAGGAAUGGUGGCAGAUUCUCCUUGCUCCCCUCCUUGCUAGCUCCUGACCUGCCUCCUUACUCCCAGCUGCCCAGGGGUCUCCUAGAGAGGGUGCCUCUGUCUUGGAGUGCUUCCAGGAUCAAGCGUGUGGUUCUUUUUGUCACUUGGUGGGAGGAAUCAGUUCCACCCACUUAGUCUUAAAACCGUGGUCGCAUGCUUCUGAAACAGUGGAGCUUUCUGGGGAAGGAAGUGGGGAGUCGUACCCUGGCCUGAGGUCUUCAAAAGAGCCAGGGGCAGUGUGACCCCGAGGAGGACCCACGGGGUCGCAGAAUCUAUGGUUCUCAGUCUCCCUGUCUGCAAAGCAUGCGGCAGAACUAGAAGACCUCUCAGGUGCCUUGGCACUAGCUGCUUGGGGAGUCUGUUAGUGCUGAUGGAGACUGUCUAGAAAAGUGCCGUGGCUUCCAGCAGCCUCUGCUCUGUGCGGCCCAGCCGACCUCAUGCCUACCCAGCUCUAUUUACUUUAUUUAUAUCUUUGGCAAUGAUGCCCCGUGAGCACUAUGUUGAACCUGGCAUAUGCCAGGGCCAGGGAGCUGGCCUCUGCCCCUUGAUGGCUAUUUGUGGUCCUGCUGUCUCUUUCUCACUUACCUGCAGCAUCCCAGGGCAGACAGUGCACACCUCUGGUUGUUCCAGGCACAACUGUUGAGGAGCAUGGGAGCUUUGACAUCAAAUAGAACCUGGCUCCAUCAUCAAUUGUGGUAUUUAUUAAUAAUGAGAUCUCUGAUUUAUAGGAGGUGCACUCCAUGCCAGACACUGUGGCAAGUUUAAUACAAUAACUGUGAGGUAUCCGUUACUGCUAAAACUCAAGUUUAAUAAAUGUAAGCUUCAUACUCAUUUUAGAGACGAGAAACUGAGAUUCAAGUAUAUUUUACCUACUUUAAAUCUUAAAUACUUUAAAUCUUAAAUAUCUUUUUUUUUUCCUCUAGGGGCUGAGCACUCUGGCCCACCCUACCUAAAGUAACAGUUUGCCUCUACCCAGGUGCUCACAAACUCCCUUAAUGUCUCCCCUCUUCCCCCACUCAGGAUUUUCUAACACACAAGACUUUUACCGUCAUGUUUAUACGAGCAUGCCUUGCCAAAUGUCAACAUGGAAGAGAUGUUGCCAGUGUUGUUCACCGAUAAAUAUCCAAAGCCACUAGAAUAAUGUGCAGCACAUAGUGGUCUGUAUUUGAUUAUCAGUGACCAGUUGGUUACAUAACUCCCUCAGGUGCAAAUUACCUGGAAACUGAAAGCACACAGCUUAGGAACCCAAGCUGCAGAGUAGACAGUUUGGGGUCUAAAUUACAUCGUCAGCCACUUCAGUGAACUCUGACCCUGUGUAGCUUGUUCUUCCCAAGCCUCAGUUUCCUUGGUAAUAGAGUAGACCAGUAACAUUUGCCUUUCAGGAUGGAGUAAGGAUUAAUGCAGACAUCUAUGCAGUUUUUGGCAUAUAGUGGGCAUUCCGUAAAUGUUAACUUCUCCCCGAGGAUGCUCUUGUGUCUUCUUGCUUCUCAUUUCUCCUCUGAUGGUCUACCCUCUGACUGAACCACUGUUCCACAGUGCUGUGUAAGAGGGCAGAGCUGCUGAGGGCAGAGGACAGUGGGAUUAUCUGUCCUGUUAACUAGCCCUAGCUGCCUGCCUCCUUCUUCCUCCUUCCAGGAUGUUCCUGUUGCCAAGGAAACACAACCUCAGCCCUUGGCAGGUUUCUGACUCCCUGUGGCUUGGCUACUGAGCUUACAAAAGGAAUGAGACAGCGGUGACCAUGGGCAGAGAGGUACUCAGUUUGUCUCCAAGGAGAGUCCAGUCUCAGGAAAAUGAGCAGCCAACUCCCCAUUCCCUCUGAGGAUCCUGCUCCCAGGAGGGGUCUCACAGAACAUGAAGGCUGUGGAGUCGGGUGAUGCCAGUGGAAAGGAUGCUGAGACAGGACCGGGCAUCAUCCCUGCCUGUUAAAAAGCGGGUCUAGCAGCAGCUGUCCCUGCCCUGGCUACUGCCAGACUCCAGCCUAGGGGAAGGCUUCCAGGAGAUUCCAGAAUUCCAAAUUGAGGUGCUGAUGCUGUGUUGGUGGUGGGCAAGCCUGCUGAUGUCGGCAAGGCUGGACCGUGAGACUACGUGGGUGCCGAUACUGUGAGACAAGGACACUCCUGAUCAGCUCAGGCCUCUCCAAUCCCUUUUCCUAGAAGGUUUCCAAUUUGCCACCAGAGGCUGUAGGAAGAAGGGCCCUUCCUCCUGGAUCCACCCACCCUGCAUCAAGGAGGCAAGCAGAAGCUGUGUGAGGCCAGAGCAGUCAAAUGACUGGAAGAAAGAGUCUGGUGAUUCUGUUCUGUGCGCUGGGCAAGGGUGCAGACAUCUCACAUUAAGUGUCCCGACACCCAGAGGUGUGUCUCGUCACCACCGCCUUCUUAGCCGAGAAAUAACAAAUUGCAUAUGUUUAUCACAUGCAACAUGGUUUUGGGGAACGCAUAUGCUAUGAAAUGGCUAGAAUGGGCUAAUUAGCAUAUGCAUGAUCUCACAUAUUUAUUAUUUAAAUUUCUCGAACACUUAGAAUCUAUCUUCUUGGCAUGGCGCAAGAAUAUAAUAGAUUGUUAUUAACUGCGGUCACUGUAGUGUACAAUAGAACUCCUGAACGCACUUGUCCAGUGUAA